RNAcentral lists this ribosomal RNA (41 nucleotides) under Podosphaera xanthii. RNAcentral's name for it is "partial 18S ribosomal RNA". The record is from RNAcentral. Lineage: Eukaryota; Fungi; Ascomycota; Leotiomycetes; Helotiales; Erysiphaceae.
UUCCGUAAGAUUCCGUAGGGUAACCUGCGGAAGGAUCAUUA